Molecule: non-coding RNA, 95 nt
Organism: Caerostris darwini
Lineage: Eukaryota; Metazoa; Arthropoda; Arachnida; Araneae; Araneidae
Source: the annotation of a GenBank genome assembly
ACGGCCAUACCAUGCUGAAUAUACCGGUUCUCGUUAGAUCACCGAGAGCGGUCAGUACUUGGGUGGGUGACCACCUAGGAACACCGCGUGCCGUU